UACGUAGGAUGCGAGCGUUGUCCGGAAUUAUUGGGCGUAAAGAGCUCGUAGGCGGUGUGUCGCGUCGGCCGUGAAAACCUGCAGCUUAACUGUGGGCUUGCGGUCGAUACGGGCAGACUAGAGGUAUGCAGGGGAGAACGGAAUUCCUGGUGUAGCGGUGGAAUGCGCAGAUAUCAGGAGGAACACCGGUGGCGAAGGCGGUUCUCUGGGCAUUACCUGACGCUGAGGAGCGAAAGUGUGGGGAGCGAACAGG
RNAcentral lists this ribosomal RNA (253 nucleotides) under uncultured bacterium. RNAcentral's name for it is "partial 16S ribosomal RNA". It matches the Rfam family "Bacterial small subunit ribosomal RNA", at positions 524 to 776 of the family's 1533-position model. The record is from RNAcentral.